GAUGAACGCUGGCGGCGUGCCUAAUACAUGCAAGUCGAGCGAACGGACGAGAAGCUUGUUUCUCUGAUGUUAGCGGCGGACGGGUGAGUAACACGUGGAUAACCUACCUAUAAGACUGGGAUAACUUCGGGAAACCGGUGCUAAUACCGGAUAAUAUUUUGAACCGCAUGGUUCAAAAGUGAAAGACGGUCUUGCUGUCACUUAUAGAUGGAUCCGCGCUGCAUUAGCUAGUUGGUAAGGUAACGGCUUACCAAGGCAACGAUGCAUAGCCGACCUGAGAGGGUGAUCGGCCACACUGGAACUGAGACACGGUCCAGACUCCUACGGGAGGCAGCAGUAGGGAAUCUUCCGCAAUGGGCGAAGGCCUGACGGAGCAACGCCGCGUGAGUGAUGAAGGUCUUCGGAUCGUAAAACUCUGUUAUUAGGGAAGAACAUAUGUGUAAGUAACUGUGCACAUCUUGACGGUACCUAAUCAGAAAGCCACGGCUAACUACGUG
Molecule: ribosomal RNA, 497 nt
Filed under: uncultured bacterium
Lineage: Bacteria
Description: partial 16S ribosomal RNA
Rfam family: Bacterial small subunit ribosomal RNA
Source: RNAcentral